AACGAACGCUGGCGGCAUGCCUAACACAUGCAAGUCGAACGAGACCUUCGGGUCUAGUGGCGCACGGGUGCGUAACGCGUGGGAACCUGCCCUUAGGUUCGGAAUAACUCCCCGAAAGGGGUGCUAUUACCGGAUAAUUUCUCCGGCCCAAAGAUUUAUCGCCUUUGGAUGGGCCCGCGUUGGAUUAGCUAGUUGGUAGGGUAAAAGCCUACCAAGGCGACGAUCCAUAGCUGGUCUGAGAGGAUGAUCAGCCACACUGGGACUGAGACACGGCCCAGACUCCUACGGGAGGCAGCAGUGGGGAAUAUUGGACAAUGGGCGAAAGCCUGAUCCAGCAAUGCCGCGUGAGUGAUGAAGGCCUUAGGGUUGUAAAGCUCUUUUACCCGGGAUGAUAAUGACAGUACCGGGAGAAUAAGCUCCGGCUAACUCCGUG
RNAcentral lists this ribosomal RNA (433 nucleotides) under uncultured bacterium. Its description in RNAcentral is "partial 16S ribosomal RNA". It matches the Rfam family "Bacterial small subunit ribosomal RNA", at positions 29 to 507 of the family's 1533-position model. The record is from RNAcentral.